GAUGAACGCUGGCGGCGUGCCUAACACAUGCAAGUCGAGCGAACCCUUCGGGGUGAGCGGCGGACGGGUGAGUAACGCGUGGGUAACCUGCCCUGUACACACGGAUAACAUACCGAAAGGUAUGCUAAUACGGGAUAACAUAUGAGAGUCGCAUGGCUUUUGUAUCAAAGCUCCGGCGGUACAGGAUGGACCCGCGUCUGAUUAGCUAGUUGGUAAGGUAACGGCUUACCAAGGCAACGAUCAGUAGCCGACCUGAGAGGGUGAUCGGCCACAUUGGAACUGAGACACGGUCCAAACUCCUACGGGAGGCAGCAGUGGGGAAUAUUGCACAAUGGGCGAAAGCCUGAUGCAGCAACGCCGCGUGAGCGAUGAAGGCCUUCGGGUCGUAAAGCUCUGUCCUCAAGGAAGAUAAUGACGGUACUUGAGGAGGAAGCCCCGGCUAACUACGUGCCAGCAGCCGCGGUAAUACGUAGGGGGCUAGCGUUAUCCGGGAAUUACUGGGCGUAAAGGGUGCGUAGGCGGUCUUUCAAGCCAGAAGUGAAAGGCUACGGCUCAACCGUAGUAAGCUUUUGGAACUGUAGGACUUGAGUGCAGGAGAGGAGAGUGGAAUUCCUAGUGUAGCGGUGAAAUGCGUAGAUAUUAGGAGGAACACCAGUAGCGAAGGCGGCUCUCUGGACUGUAACUGACGCUGAGGCACGAAAGCGUGGGGAGCAAACAGGAUUAGAUACCCUGGUAGUCCACGCCGUAAACGAUGAGUACUAGGUGUCGGGGGUUACCCCCCUCGGUGCCGCAGCUAACGCAUUAAGUACUCCGCCUGGGAAGUACGCUCGCAAGAGUGAAACUCAAAGGAAUUGGGCGGGGACCCGCACAAGUAGCGGAGCAUGUGGUUUAAUUCGAAGCAACGCGAAGAACCUUACCUAAGCUUGACAUCCCAUUGACCUCUCCCUAAUCGGAGAUUUCCCUUCGGGGACAAUGGUGACAGGUGGUGCAUGGUUGUCGUCAGCUCGUGUCGUGAGAUGUUGGGUUAAGUCCCGCAACGAGCGCAACCCUUGCCUUUAGUUGCCAGCAUUAAGUUGGGCACUCUAGAGGGACUGCCGAGGAUAACUCGGAGGAAGGUGGGGAUGACGUCAAAUCAUCAUGCCCCUUAUGCUUAGGGCUACACACGUGCUACAAUGGGUGGUACAGAGGGUUGCCAAGCCGUGAGGUGGAGCUAAUCCCUUAAAGCCAUUCUCAGUUCGGAUUGUAGGCUGAAACUCGCCUAUAUGAAGCUGGAGUUACUAGUAAUCGCAGAUCAGAAUGCUGCGGUGAAUGCGUUCCCGGGUCU
RNAcentral lists this ribosomal RNA (1324 nucleotides) under uncultured bacterium. RNAcentral describes it as "partial 16S ribosomal RNA". It matches the Rfam family "Bacterial small subunit ribosomal RNA", at positions 28 to 1381 of the family's 1533-position model. The record is from RNAcentral.